This 1391-nucleotide long non-coding RNA is filed under the name Sus scrofa (pig). Its description in RNAcentral is "lncRNA (ENSSSCG00005044833.1)". The record is from RNAcentral. Lineage: Eukaryota; Metazoa; Chordata; Mammalia; Artiodactyla; Suidae.
GCAGGUGUGCUGGCGCUGUGGGUCCUGGUGACACACGUGAUGUACAUGCAGGAUUACUGGAGGACGUGGCUCAAGGGGCUGCGCGGCUUCUUCUUUGUGGGAGUCCUCUUCUCUGCCAUCUCCAUCGCCACCUUCUGCACCUUCCUGGCGCUGGCCAUCACCGGACACCAGAGCAUCACAGACCCCAACAGCUACUACCUCUCCUGUGUCUGGAGCUUCAUUUCCUUCAAGUGGGCCUUCCUACUUAGCCUCUACGCCCACCGCUACCGGGCUGACUUUGCCGACAUCAGCAUUCUCAGCGAUUUCUGACCCAAGGGAUGAGGUCUCUGCACCCCGGCGGUCCUCAGGACCUGGACUCAGCCUCUGAGACACCGGGUGGGCCUGCCCCACCCCCUGGGAGCCCCAGAACCAGGGCAGAAAAUACACAGCAGGAGGACGUCUGCCUCCCUGGAAGACAGGGUCCCCUUUGGGGGAACCCUGGGUGCCAUGGGGAGGGGUCCUGCCAUGUUGCUCGUCAGCCUGGCGGGUGGACAGCUUUAGACCUUUCCAAGUGGAUGUUUUCUUUGCCCUCGGUGGGUAAUCUUUGUAAGCAGGGCCAGGGCAGCGGUCAAGGGGUAGGGCAGUGGGGCCUUGACCUGUGCCCGGAGGCCAGCGGUUUGGUCCCUGCUGCCCUGGGUGCUCUCCCUGAACCAGGGGUGGCCAAGUCAAUAAGAGGGGAGGUCAAGUCAAUAAGAGAUCCCUGGCAGCGCCUUCUCGACGCCCUACCCCAGCACCCCCAUCCUGUUGUCCCCGAAGGGGCAGUAGCUGAACUCCUUGGUCCCAGGGAUGGUGACAUUUGGCUCUUUUCCCAAGGCCUGGGGACUUGAGGGGAGAGUUCGGUGUCCCUCUUCCCACCCUGUUCCACGCAGCGCUGGUUCCCAAGAGAGCACUAGAGCUAUCCUCGCCUUCACCACACGCCCCAGAGUGGGACACCCUGAACGAGGCCAGACUGAGGGUCUUGGGGAAGGUGCUUCUGCCCCCGGAAGGGCUUUCGGGAAGGGCCCAGCGCCUCCAGCUCUGCGUGCCCCCCUGGCCUUCUCACGCCUGUCCCUCAUCAACGCCCAGAUGACCCCCGGCCCCGCGACACCUCCCAGCUCCUGCCCCUGCCCACUGCCCUUCACUUAAGCACCUUUUAAAACCUCCCUUCUAGAGGACAAAACCUGCUUAACUGCCUACACACUGGCCCAAGGGCUCACCUAACUCGGGAGGGAAGGGGCCACAUCUUUUUAUCUUCGGUUGCCAUUUUGCACGGUUUACCCCUUCCCCACCCGAUGUGUCCUGCCCCUCAGCUCUUUGCCUUAUCUGUGUCACUGUCACUUUAGCAGAAAUAACAGCGGCCAUUUCUAUCAGCC